Molecule: ribosomal RNA, 467 nt
Filed under: uncultured bacterium
Lineage: Bacteria
Description: partial 16S ribosomal RNA
Rfam family: Bacterial small subunit ribosomal RNA
Source: RNAcentral
GACGAACGCUGGCGGCGUGCUUAACACAUGCAAGUCGAACGGAAAGGCCCUGCUUUUGUGGGGUGCUCGAGUGGCGAACGGGUGAGUAACACGUGAGUAACCUGCCCUUGACUUUGGGAUAACUUCAGGAAACUGGGGCUAAUACCGGAUAGGAGCUCCUGCUGCAUGGUGGGGGUUGGAAAGUUUCGGCGGUUGGGGAUGGACUCGCGGCUUAUCAGCUUGUUGGUGGGGUAGUGGCUUACCAAGGCUUUGACGGGUAGCCGGCCUGAGAGGGUGACCGGCCAAAUUGGGACUGGGAAACGGCCCAGACCCCUAGGGGGGGCAGGGGGGGGGAAAAUUGAAAAAGGGGGGGAAGCCGGAUGCAGCAACGCCGGGGGGGGGAUGACGGCCUUGGGGUUGUAAACCGCUUUCCCCUUGAAAGAAGCGGGGGCGACGGUAAUGGGGAAAGAAGCACCGGCUAACUACGU